UGGGGAAUAUUGCACAAUGGGCGCAAGCCCGAUGCAGCCAUGCCGCGUGUAUGAAGAAGGCCUUCGGGUUGUAAAGUACUUUCAGCGGGGAGGAAGGGAGUAAAGUUAAUACCUUUGCUCAUUGACGUUACCCGCAGAAGAAGCACCGGCUAACUCCGUGCCAGCAGCCGCGGUAAUACGGAGGGUGCAAGCGUUAAUCGGAAUUACUGGGCGUAAAGCGCACGCAGGCGGGUUGUUAAGUCAGAUGUGAAAACCCCGGGCUCAACCUGGGAACUGCAGCUGAUACUGGCAAGCUUGAGUCUCGUAGAGGGGGGUAGAAUUCCAGGUGUAGCGGUGAAAUGCGUAGAGAUCUGGAGGAAUACCGGUGGCGAAGGCGGCCCCCUGGACGAAGACUGACGCUCAGGUGCGAAAGCGUGGGGAGCAAACAGG
RNAcentral lists this ribosomal RNA (429 nucleotides) under Chloroflexota bacterium. Its description in RNAcentral is "Chloroflexi bacterium partial 16S ribosomal RNA". It matches the Rfam family "Bacterial small subunit ribosomal RNA", at positions 355 to 776 of the family's 1533-position model. Lineage: Bacteria; Bacillati; Chloroflexota. The record is from RNAcentral.